This 258-nucleotide ribosomal RNA is filed under the name uncultured bacterium. RNAcentral's name for it is "partial 16S ribosomal RNA". It matches the Rfam family "Bacterial small subunit ribosomal RNA", at positions 96 to 354 of the family's 1533-position model. The record is from RNAcentral.
UGGCGGACGGGUGAGUAACGCGUGGGUAACCUGCCUUACACAGGGGGAUAACACUUAGAAAUAGGUGCUAAAACCGCAUAAGCGCACAGCUUCGCAUGAAGCGGUGUGAAAAACUCCGGUGGUGUAAGAUGGACCCGCGUCUGAUUAGCUUGUUGGCGGGGUAACGGCCCGCCAAGGCGACGAUCAGUAGCCGGCCUGAGAGGGCGGACGGCCACAUUGGGACUGAGACACGGCCCAGACUCCUACGGAAGGCAGCAG